AGCGAACGCUGGCGGCAGGCUUAACACAUGCAAGUCGAGCGGGCGUAGCAAUACGUCAGCGGCAGACGGGUGAGUAACGCGUGGGAACAUACCUUUUGGUUCGGAACAACACAGGGAAACUUGUGCUAAUACCGGAUAAGCCCUUACGGGGAAAGAUUUAUCGCCGAAAGAUUGGCCCGCGUCUGAUUAGCUAGUUGGUGAGGUAAUGGCUCACCAAGGCGACGAUCAGUAGCUGGUCUGAGAGGAUGAUCAGCCACAUU
Molecule: ribosomal RNA, 260 nt
Filed under: uncultured bacterium
Lineage: Bacteria
Description: partial 16S ribosomal RNA
Rfam family: Bacterial small subunit ribosomal RNA
Source: RNAcentral